RNAcentral lists this non-coding RNA (132 nucleotides) under Candidatus Zhuqueibacterota. RNAcentral's name for it is "Candidate division GlcN6P sequence". It matches the Rfam family "glmS glucosamine-6-phosphate activated ribozyme aptamer". From Rfam's summary of the family: This entry contains a glucosamine-6-phosphate activated ribozyme that is found in the mRNA for GlmS. GlmS is an enzyme that uses fructose-6-phosphate and glutamine to generate glucosamine-6-phosphate. The ribozyme catalyses self cleavage of the glmS mRNA that is thought to regulate GlmS activity. Lineage: Bacteria; Pseudomonadati. The record is from RNAcentral.
UAAUUAACUGAAGCGGCUGGGUCUAUAUAGACUACGAGGCGAAGGAUAUCGAAUAAUCAGCGGAUACCUUCAGGUUGUUGUAACAACCUAAAUGAGUUCUACAAAUAUACAAAAAGAAUCUCAAUUUACAUU